UGUGUGUACGUGCCGAGGCUGGUUGGUAAAGUAACUCCAAUUUCACUUCAAGGUACCAGUGCAUCUAGUGUCUGCUUCUAUCAAAGCAGGUCAUAUUGGUGUGAAGUGAGCCAUGACUAGUGGUUGUGUUCUGGGAGCAUGCUGUCAUCUGACCAGUCAAGAAACACUGCCUGAGAAUAUGGUAGUGUUUGGCGAGGGCUAUCAGCGUCGAGUGCAAGGUGAUAAACCCACGGCACCGACAUUACAGCUGGACUUCCUAACAAAGAUAUUGCCAAACUACCAUCACCUGUAGGCGUCACAGUCGGCAGCAGCAGCAGCAAUAUCUUGACCAAAGGUAUCCUUGCCCCAUCCACCUUACAUGGCCCUGUGUUGUUUGCUGCAAACCCGCAUUCGCUGAACACGAGG
This is a long non-coding RNA of Sycon ciliatum, 405 nucleotides long. RefSeq lists it as uncharacterized. The record is from RefSeq and is a predicted model, not a curated record. NCBI's taxonomy places the organism in Eukaryota, Metazoa, Porifera, Calcarea, Leucosolenida, Sycettidae. The transcript is spliced from 3 exons.